Molecule: small nuclear RNA, 115 nt
Filed under: Nelumbo nucifera (sacred lotus)
Lineage: Eukaryota; Viridiplantae; Streptophyta; Magnoliopsida; Proteales; Nelumbonaceae
Description: U5 spliceosomal RNA
Rfam family: U5 spliceosomal RNA
About the family: U5 RNA is a component of both types of known spliceosome. The precise function of this molecule is unknown, though it is known that the 5' loop is required for splice site selection and p220 binding, and that both the 3' stem-loop and the Sm site are important for Sm protein binding and cap methylation.
Source: Rfam by way of RNAcentral
CACCCACGAUGAGCACAGAGCGAACUAUUCUUUUGCCUUUUACUAAAGAAUACCGUGUGCUCGUCUCCUUUUUUGGCAUACGCCUAUUUUUGGAGGGCUUUUCCAUUUGUUGGAU